CUGCACAUGAUGAUAAUUGAAAGUUCUUGAUAGGAAUUGCCGGCUGACACAUAUAUGAAGCUAAUUCUAGUUUAUCUGAUUACA
Drosophila melanogaster (fruit fly) is the source of this 84-nucleotide small nucleolar RNA. NCBI's taxonomy places the organism in Eukaryota, Metazoa, Arthropoda, Insecta, Diptera, Drosophilidae. The record is from Ensembl.